AUUGAACGCUGGCGGCAUGCUUUACACAUGCAAGUCGAACGGCAGCGCGGGCUUCGGCCUGGCGGCGAGUGGCGAACGGGUGAGUAAUACAUCGGAACGUGCCCAGUAGUGGGGGAUAGCUCGGCUAAAGCCGGAUUAAUACCGCAUACGACCUGAGGGUGAAAGCGGGGGAUCUUCGGACCUCGCGCUAUUGGAGCGGCCGAUGGCAGAUUAGCUAGUUGGUGGGGUAAAGGCCUACCAAGGCGACGAUCUGUAGCUGGUCUGAGAGGACGACCAGCCACACUGGAGCUGAGACACGGCCCAGACUCCUACGGGAGGCAGCAGUGGGGAAUUUUGGACAAUGGGCGAAAGCCUGAUCCAGCAAUGCCGCGUGUGUGAUGAAGGCCUUCGGGUUGUAAAGCACUUUUGGCGGGAACGAAAAGGACUGUGCCAAUACCACGGUUCGAUGACGGUACCCGCAGAAUAAGCACCGGCUAACUACGUG
This 484-nucleotide ribosomal RNA is filed under the name uncultured bacterium. RNAcentral's name for it is "partial 16S ribosomal RNA". It matches the Rfam family "Bacterial small subunit ribosomal RNA", at positions 29 to 507 of the family's 1533-position model. The record is from RNAcentral.